RNAcentral lists this ribosomal RNA (300 nucleotides) under uncultured Lactobacillus sp. RNAcentral describes it as "bacterial SSU rRNA". It matches the Rfam family "Bacterial small subunit ribosomal RNA", at positions 496 to 795 of the family's 1533-position model. The record is from RNAcentral. Lineage: Bacteria; Bacillati; Bacillota; Bacilli; Lactobacillales; Lactobacillaceae.
GCUGACUACGUGGCAGCGUGAGGGGGAAUACGGAGGGUGCGAGCGUUAUCCGGAAUUAGUGGGCGUAAAGCGCGCGCAGGCGGUUUCUUAAGUCAGAUGUGAAAGCCCACGGCUCAACCGUGGAGGGUCAUUGGAAACUGGGAAACUUGAGUGCAGAAGAGGAAAGCGGAAUUCCACGUGUAGCGGUGAAAUGCGUAGAGAUGUGGAGGAACACCAGUGGCGAAGGCGGCUUUCUGGUCUGUAACUGACGCUGAGGCGCGAAAGCGUGGGGAGCAAACAGGAUUAGAUACCCCGGUAGUC